GGCUGGAAGAAGGCAGGCGCAGAGGCCCGGAGAGGCGGGAGCCAGGUCGCGGCCCCGCAGCCGCUCCGGUCUCACUCCGGGCAUUCUCGGUGGCAGCGCCCGGGCCUGGCCGCCGGCGCCGCGGGUGGGAGGACGGCGCCUGGAGCGGAGCCCGGAGGCGCGAAGAGGAGGAGCGGGUCUCAGCCCUGGGAGCGGGAACAGCGCAGACAAGCCGGGGAACCUCGGGGGCGGUGACCGAGGGCUGGACAGCUCAGGUCACCGCGGGACCCCACUAGGGGACUACGGGGAACCGACCUCACCCGCGGAGCGCUGAGAAUAACCCAGUGGCCAUUCAAACUGGCGAGUCCGGCUGCGUUCCUGCGGCCCGCGCCCAGCCGAGCCCUGAUUGGCGUUCACCCAGCCAAUCAUAGCCUCAGGGCCUGAGGUGGGUGGGGCCGGAGCGGGCCGGGCGCGCCCGCGGAGGCGGACCCCGAGGACCCUGUCUUCUAGGUGCGCCAGAAACGGAGGGGGGCCGGUUGGCGCGUCCCGCUUCUCCGCGCCUCUUUGGAAGGCCACACCCGGGCCUGGAGACCUGGACAGAAGCGGACACUGCGACUCAAAACCCCAGGCUCAAUGGGAGAUGCCUACCGUGCAAAGUCCCGGAGCGCUGGCCUGGAGGAAGAGGGCGUCCCGCGCCUGUGCAAAUACCUGGAGAACGCGCGGGAGACGAUGCUGCUGCAGGGCACCACCCUCUGGGCCUCACAUCAGCAUCUCUCAGCCUGAGAUGGGAUACGGACGGACGGAUCUGUGGGGAAGGGAAUAUCUUCUCAGAGCAGGGAAAUCAGGAGCCAUCCAGGUGCCUUAAGCAGGAUUCUCUAGAGUCCAGCCUAAUCAUAAGCCGUCUCCUCUCCCCUUCUCAAAGCCAUCUUGCUCCCUCCUUAUAAUAGUCAUGGACACAGUUGCUAGUCUACUCUUCCUUGGUGCUCUCGUUAUUAGAGUGGAGUUUGGAUAAUAUAGAUGAAAAACUUGAGUACAAAGGGAGUGAGGAUACUAGGCCUCUUCAGCUUGACUCAUGGGUUCCCACUCUAAGUAGGUGAGGUACACAAUAUCCUGCCAUUCUUAUGCUAGGGCCAGAGAUGGUAACUCACAGAUGUGUUAUAGAGGAUAGAAGAGAGUAGGACCAUCAGGCAGGCAAGUCUCAGCCUAGGAGGCAGAGGAUGUGACCAAGAAGUCACAUCUAGGGGGCCAGCACAGUGCAAGGGAGUUCCUGCGGCUGCUUGGGUCAGAGGAGGUGAGGCAAGAGGCUAGUGAAAACUCAGCCUGAGAAGCAGUCAAGAAGGAGAGCUGCAAAAGCAGCAGGAUGGGUUUUCCAGGAGGCCCAGUGCCCAAGGUCAGGGUUCUACCAGGGAUGGCCAGCCCCUGUGGGCUGAGCCCCAUGUGCCUGGUCUGCAUUCGGAUCUCCCCUGCUUAUUCAUGGGGGCUGGGGAAGCCAAGUCAGGAGCCUGGAGAGUAACCAGAAGGGCACCCAGGCACCUGAGAAAUGGUUCCCUUGUCUCCAAGAGAUUCACUCCAAGAGCUCUCUUCUUAGCUUUCCCAGACUUUUCACCAGUGAUUCAAUGGGAGGAAACCAGGUCCCAGACUUGAUUAAAAACAAACAAAAAAACCCUAGGUAUCGAAAGAGGGUAACAGCCUCGUCUUCAAGUAAAUAAAAGGAGGGAUUCAAAUUAUAAGGCAAAGGAAAAAUUUGUUCUUUGCUGUGGGGGAAGAGUUGCUGAAAAUUAAAGAACAAUCUCCUGAGCUGAAGGGAGCUUUGGGUUUGGUAAUUUGGGGUGUGGGGCAGGCCUUCCAGAAUGCCAAGGGCGUCAAGACUAGUGUGUCUCUCCCUUAGUGUUUCCUUCCUCCAUUUGAGAGAGCUUUCUGGCAUAGAACAAAAAAAGGUUCACCCCUUCUUGUCUCUGCUGACACCUAGAUUCUUCUCAGCUGUAUGUCCGUGUUCCUAUUAGGGUAACACAGGAUGGAGGAAGAAUAGCUCAGUGGUCUUCCCUUCACAUCUCCCCUAAAAGCAUUGUGAAAUAUCAUGUGCCCCCUCCCACAGGCUUAGGUUGACCUGAAAUUCUCAGCGUGUGUUCAAAGAAUUGCAAAGAAUGUAAUUUACAACAUAUUAUAUAUA
Equus quagga is the source of this 2149-nucleotide long non-coding RNA. RefSeq lists it as uncharacterized. NCBI's taxonomy places the organism in Eukaryota, Metazoa, Chordata, Mammalia, Perissodactyla, Equidae. The record is from RefSeq and is a predicted model, not a curated record. The transcript is spliced from 3 exons.